This 443-nucleotide ribosomal RNA is filed under the name uncultured bacterium. RNAcentral describes it as "bacterial SSU rRNA". It matches the Rfam family "Bacterial small subunit ribosomal RNA", at positions 213 to 648 of the family's 1533-position model. The record is from RNAcentral.
UUGCGCGAUUAAAUGANCCGAUGUCGGAUUAGCUAGUUGGCGGGGUAAAGGCCCACCAAGGCGACGAUCCNUAGCUGGUCUGAGAGGAUGAUCAGCCACACUGGAACUGAGACACGGUCCAGACUCCUACGGGAGGCAGCAGUGGGGAAUAUUGGACAAUGGGCGCAAGCCUGAUCCAGCCAUGCCGCGUGGGUGAAGAAGGCCUUCGGGUUGUAAAGCCCUUUUGUUGGGAAAGAAAAGCACGGGGCUAAUACCCUUGUGUUCUGACGGUACCCAAAGAAUAAGCACCGGCUAACUUCGUGCCAGCAGCCGCGGUAAUACGAAGGGUGCAAGCGUUACUCGGAAUUACUGGGCGUAAAGCGUGCGUAGGUGGUGAUUUAAGUCCGUUGUGAAAGCCCUGGGCUCAACCUGGGAAUUGCAGUGGAUACUGGGUCACUAGAAUG